RNAcentral lists this ribosomal RNA (1000 nucleotides) under Ruditapes variegatus. RNAcentral's name for it is "small subunit ribosomal RNA". Lineage: Eukaryota; Metazoa; Mollusca; Bivalvia; Venerida; Veneridae. The record is from RNAcentral.
CAGGUAAAAUAUAAGUGGAAGGAAGAAAAGUAGAAAGAAAGUGUGGGGCGUUUAAUAAAUGUAUUCGCCGAUGGUACUGCGUUGGUUAUCCCUUUGAAUAUACAUGGUAUUUUAGUGAGAAUAGAGAGGAUCUAUUAUUGUAAACGGUACGAAUUGGAUAGUAAUUAAAAAGUUCAGAUUAUCCAUAUCAAAUGCUUUAAAGAGGUCUGUGUAGGUUGAGAUGUCUUUCAGGAGGAGUGAAAACGGGCUCUUAUUUUGGACUCUACUCCAGUAUAGAAUAUUGAUAUAUUGUAGAAAUAUAGAUUAAGUAAUUGGGAAUGAGGGCGGAUGAAUAAAGUGCCAGCAUUCGCGGUUAGUCUUUUUGCCCCCAGCCAAUGGGUUCGUAUGUAAGUUAAAUUGGAAAAUAAAUAUUCAGACCCAUUAAUAGAAACGGUGAAAUGUUACUAUAGUAUGAGUUUAUAUGCGUGGUGUUUUAAGUUGGUUUAGAAAGUUUAAUCUGAUAAGGCUGUGUUUAAAGACAGGGAUUUGUACCCCAUUAUUUAGGCUAUCUAGAGAUGUACGGGUACUACGAGCAAACGUGCUUAAAAACCAAAAUGGUUGGCGGUGUUUCAAAUCCGGUUAGGGGAACUUGGCGAUUAAUUCGAUGAGCCUCGAACAUUUUACCUUUAGUUUUCUUUGCAUACCGCCGUUGAGACAAACUUUCGGGGGUCAAAGAAUUUAAACGCAAUAUAUAGAGAGUGUGAUGAUAAAGGUUUAGGGUUAAAGAUUGUCGUUUCUAUAAAAAUUCAGGUAAACGUGUAGGUUCUAAAGGGUUUAGCUGAGUUACAUUUUUUUAUAAUUACGGAUGUACAUAUUUAUAUUUGUAUUGAAGGUGUACUUGUUAGUAAAAUUUUAUAAUAGAGGAAAUUUGAAUGGAGUUAUGAAAUGCGUACAAAUCGCCCGGCACCCUUGAAUAACUAAAUUAAGGUAAGUCGUAACAUAGUAAUGCUAGUAGAAACUG